Long non-coding RNA from Corvus hawaiiensis (hawaiian crow), 539 nucleotides. RefSeq lists it as uncharacterized. Lineage: Eukaryota; Metazoa; Chordata; Aves; Passeriformes; Corvidae. The transcript has 3 exons. The record is from RefSeq and is a predicted model, not a curated record.
GCACCCCGCUGGAGCCAGCCUGGGCAGUGGACAGCAGCGGAGUAUCCUUGGUAAGUAUCCCUAAAACCCAAUGGAGGAAUCUCCACACACUCCAAGGAAGAAUAUGUUAGAAGAACCUACUAUAUGGAAAGAGGACUGGGCUUCUAUAGUGGGAAGGAGUUGACUGCCAGUGAUAUGUCUACAGCACCGGAGCAAAGUGACAACCAGGAGCAGGUUUUAGCCAGAGGCAGUGGGAAGCUGCGGAGCCGAAGCUGGGGCAGCAGAGCUGGCAGUGACAUAAAGAAGGUGGAGCUUGGGGUCAAACCACUGUGGGGCUAGAUAGGGGCUGUGGGGCUGGGAGAGGCACUGUAGGGAUUGAGCUGGAAUAGGGAUUCUAGAGCUGAAGCUGAAGCAUCAAGAGACCUGAAGCUGAAAUGAAGAUCCUGCCUUGGUCCAGGAGCAGCUUCACGUGGCAGCAGCAGGAAGAUGCAGAGCUGGAGUGGAAACAUCAGAGCUGGCAGAGAAAUAAAGCUUGUGGGGCUGCAGCUGAAAUUACUGGA